RNAcentral lists this ribosomal RNA (751 nucleotides) under uncultured bacterium. RNAcentral's name for it is "bacterial SSU rRNA". It matches the Rfam family "Bacterial small subunit ribosomal RNA", at positions 61 to 784 of the family's 1533-position model. The record is from RNAcentral.
GUCGCACGAGAACGCUUCAGCUUGCUGAAGUUAGUAAAGUGGCGCACGGGUGAGUAUCGCGUGGGUAAUCUACCUCUGAAUUGGGGAUAACAUUGCGAAAGCGAUGCUAAUACCGAAUAACAUCUUAAAUACUUCGGUAUUUAAGAUCAAAGGUGGCCUCUACGUGUAAGCUACUGUUUGGAGAUGAGCCCGCGUACCAUUAGCUUGUUGGUAGGGUAACGGCCUACCAAAGCGACGAUGGUUAGCUGGUCUGAGAGGAUGAUCAGCCACACUGGAACUGACACACGGUCCAGACUCCUACGGGAGGCAGCAGUGAGGAAUUUUGCGCAAUGGGGGAAACCCUGACGCAGCAACGCCGCGUGAGUGAUGAAGGCUUUCGGGUCGUAAAGCUCUGUCAAGUGGGAAGAAACUGCCCCGUGCUAAUAUCACGGGAUACUGACGGUACCACUGAAGGAAGCACCGGCUAACUCCGUGCCAGCAGCCGCGGUAAUACGGGGGGUGCGAGCGUUAUUCGGAAUCAUUGGGCGUAAAGGGCGCGUAGGCGGUCUCUUAAGUCAGGUGUGAAAGCCUUCCGCUUAACGGAAGAAGUGCACUUGAAACUAAGGGACUUGAGUAUGGGAGAGGGAAGUGGAAUUCCUGGUGUAGCGGUGAAAUGCGUAGAUAUCAGGAGGAACACCGGUGGCGAAGGCGACUUCCUGGACCAAUACUGACGCUGAGGCGCGAAGGCGUGGGGAGCAAACAGGAUUAGAUA